Molecule: ribosomal RNA, 476 nt
Filed under: uncultured bacterium
Lineage: Bacteria
Description: bacterial SSU rRNA
Rfam family: Bacterial small subunit ribosomal RNA
Source: RNAcentral
ACUCCUACGGGAGGCAGCAGUGGGGAAUAUUGCACAAUGGGGGAAACCCUGAUGCAGCCAUGCCGCGUGUGUGAAGAAGGCCUUCGGGUUGUAAAGCACUUUCAGUAGGGAGGAAGGUAGUGUAGUUAACACCUGCACUAUUUGACGUUACCUACAGAAGAAGCACCGGCUAACUCCGUGCCAGCAGCCGCGGUAAUACGGAGGGUGCGAGCGUUAAUCGGAAUUACUGGGCGUAAAGCGCAUGCAGGCGGCCUGUUAAGUCAGAUGUGAAAGCCCGGGGCUUAACCUCGGAAUUGCAUUUGAAACUGGCAGGCUAGAGUCUUGUAGAGGGGGGUAGAAUUUCAGGUGUAGCGGUGAAAUGCGUAGAGAUCUGAAGGAAUACCAGUGGCGAAGGCGGCCCCCUGGACAAAGACUGACGCUCAGAUGCGAAAAGGCUGGGGGAGCAAAACAGGAUUAGAUACCCUGGUAGGAUAGCG